CAAAAAGCCACCUUUCGCAUCUGAAAAGCGUAUUUUCUUUCAGCUAGUCCUCUUCUUCUUUUCAAAAUUUAAAUUUACAUUCAAAGAAUUCUAAAAUCCCAAGUGACAGAAACCAAAAAAAUUCGAGCUUGNNNNNNUGGUCCAAUUUCUAGGCACAGUUCGUGUAUCUCCUUCUCUACCGAGUUUUGAUCACCACGGACGCCAAUUCUCUUUCCAGAGCUCUUCACUUUCACUCUCCCGC
This 241-nucleotide unclassified non-coding RNA is filed under the name Hevea brasiliensis (rubber tree). The record is from RNAcentral. Lineage: Eukaryota; Viridiplantae; Streptophyta; Magnoliopsida; Malpighiales; Euphorbiaceae.